This 253-nucleotide ribosomal RNA is filed under the name uncultured bacterium. RNAcentral describes it as "partial 16S ribosomal RNA". It matches the Rfam family "Bacterial small subunit ribosomal RNA", at positions 524 to 776 of the family's 1533-position model. The record is from RNAcentral.
UACGGAGGGGACUAGCGUUGUUCGGAAUUACUGGGCGUAAAGCGCACGUAGGCGGAUUUGUAAGUCAGGGGUGAAAUCCCGGGGCUCAACCUCGGAACUGCCUUUGAUACUGCAAAUCUCGAGUCCGGAAGAGGUGAGUGGAAUUCCUAGUGUAGAGGUGAAAUUCGUAGAUAUUAGGAAGAACACCCGUGGCGAAGGCGGUUCUCUGGGACGGUACUGACGCUGAGACGCGAAAGCGUGGGGAGCGAACAGG